CGGCAGGCUUAAACAUGCAAGUCGAACGGUAACAGAACUAGCUUGCUAGUUGCUGACGAGUGGCGGACGGGUGAGUAACGCGUAGGAAUCUACCGAGUAGUGGGGGACAACAGUUGGAAACGACUGCUAAUACCGCAUAAUCCCUGAGGGGGAAAGGAGGGGAUCUGUUUACAGACCUUUCGCUAUUUGAUGAGCCUGCGUGAGAUUAGCUAGUUGGUGAGGUAAUGGCUCACCAAGGCGACGAUCUCUAGCUGGUCUGAGAGGAUGAUCAGCCACACUGGAACUGAGACACGGUCCAGACUCCUACGGGAGGCAGCAGUGGGGAAUAUUGCACAAUGGGGGAAACCCUGAUGCAGCCAUGCCGCGUGUGUGAAGAAGGCCUUCGGGUUGUAAAGCACUUUCAGCGAGGAGGAAAGGAGUAUGUUUAAUAAACGUGCUCUGUGACGUUACUCGCAGAAGAAGCACCGG
Molecule: ribosomal RNA, 468 nt
Filed under: uncultured Gammaproteobacteria bacterium
Lineage: Bacteria; Pseudomonadati; Pseudomonadota; Gammaproteobacteria
Description: bacterial SSU rRNA
Rfam family: Bacterial small subunit ribosomal RNA
Source: RNAcentral